CCAGAAAGCUUCGUCCUUGGUUCUUCCCCCAGGCAACUGCUAUAACUCAGAUCAGUUGGGAUUGAUUAUUGUAUACAGGAUGCUGGUUUGCCUGAUGUUUGACCUUGACAUGUCUGAUGAUUUCUGAUCGUGAAUAGUCGUAUGUUUACGGAACAGGCAGAAACUCUAGAGACUGGAUAGCCUGGUGGUUCAGAGAAGGAUGUCAUUCAUCCCUACUCUAUCAAAGAUGGAGAAUAAAAUGGGAUCAAGAAUGAUGGGCAAUACAUGGGACAGCGGCCACGAGAACAUCCCGGACAUGCAGCAGACUAAUUGUAAACAGUCUAAAGUCCACAUGCCUCCUGUCCUGUCAUGGUGUCGCAAUACAAGGACUCACUUCCUGAGCAGUCUAACUGUUCUAGAAUCCACUCUCUCACAGGGGUGUUGAUUCUGAAAACAUUUCCCAAUCAACUUCCUGCAGCAAAUCUCUGCCUCGACGUCUUGUUUCCAUGGAAUGUGACUUAUGACACUAACAAAUGCUGAAACCUCCACCAGGUGGAAGAAGUUAACUACAUGAUGACCAGGCUGUAGCCAUGACAUAAGCUGCCACAGUUUUGAGAACUGACCUCAAGGAAAUGGGAACAAACCGACCCUGGAACUGAAAAUUAACUGUACUUAAAACAAUCAAGAUGAAGCUGGUCAGACCACUGCUGACCAAUUUUGAGAUGAAUGUCAGAGCUGCCUGCGAUGUUUCUGCAUGUAGCCCCUUCUCUCCGCCUAUAAAAGCUCUUGCCCCCUGAUUGUCUGGGGCGCAGAGGCAGUCGGCCUUUGGACAGGAGUCUGUCUUCCCUCUGGUCGCCGGCAUCCAAAAUAAAGCAAACUUUCCUUU
Molecule: long non-coding RNA, 865 nt
Organism: Hippopotamus amphibius kiboko
Lineage: Eukaryota; Metazoa; Chordata; Mammalia; Artiodactyla; Hippopotamidae
Exons: 5
Source: RefSeq, a predicted model, not a curated record